RNAcentral lists this ribosomal RNA (464 nucleotides) under uncultured bacterium. Its description in RNAcentral is "bacterial SSU rRNA". It matches the Rfam family "Bacterial small subunit ribosomal RNA", at positions 28 to 524 of the family's 1533-position model. The record is from RNAcentral.
GACGAACGCUGGCGGCGUGCUUAAAACAUGCAAGUCGAACGAGCACUUCGGUGCGAGUGGCAAACGGCUGAGUAACGCGUGGGUGACCUGCCUCGAAGUGGGGAAUAACUGCCCGAAAGGGUGGCUAAUACCGCAUGUGAUGGCUCCUUCGGUGGAGUCAUUAAAGCCGCAAGGCGCUUGGAGAGGGGCCCGCGUCCGAUUAGCUAGUUGGUGGGGUAACGGCCUACCAAGGCGUCGAUCGGUAGCUGGUCUAAGAGGAUGAUCAGCCAGACUGGGACUACGACACGGCCCAGACUCCUACGGGAGGCAGCAGUUAGGAAUUUUGGGCAAUGGGCGAAAGCCUGACCCAGCAACGCCGCGUGGGUGAUGAAGGCCUUAGGUUGUAAAGCCCUUUUCCGAGGGAAGAUGAUGACGGUACCUCGGGAAUAAGCCCCGGCUAACUACGUGCCAGCAGCCGCGGUAAU